UAGGGAAUCUUCGGCAAUGGACGAAAGUCUGACCGAGCAACGCCGCGUGAGUGAAGAAGGUUUUCGGAUCGUAAAACUCUGUUGUUAGAGAAGAACAAGGACGUUAGUAACUGAACGUCCCCUGACGGUAUCUAACCAGAAAGCCACGGCUAACUACGUGCCAGCAGCCGCGGUAAUACGUAGGUGGCAAGCGUUGUCCGGAUUUAUUGGGCGUAAAGCGAGCGCAGGCGGUUUCUUAAGUCUGAUGUGAAAGCCCCCGGCUCAACCGGGGAGGGUCAUUGGAAACUGGGAGACUUGAGUGCAGAAGAGGAGAGUGGAAUUCCAUGUGUAGCGGUGAAAUACGUAGAUAUAUGGGAGAACACCAGUGGCGAAGGCGGCUCUCUGGUCUGUAACUGACGCUGAGGCUCGAAAGCGUGGGGAGCAAACAGG
RNAcentral lists this ribosomal RNA (429 nucleotides) under Gemmatimonadota bacterium. Its description in RNAcentral is "Gemmatimonadetes bacterium partial 16S ribosomal RNA". It matches the Rfam family "Bacterial small subunit ribosomal RNA", at positions 355 to 776 of the family's 1533-position model. Lineage: Bacteria; Pseudomonadati; Gemmatimonadota. The record is from RNAcentral.